UCCGGUUGAUCCCGCCGGACCUGACUGCUAUCGGAUUGAUACUAAGCCAUGCGAGUCUUUGUAGCAAUACAAGGCAGACGGCUCAGUAACACGUAGUCAAUCUACCCUAUGGACGGGGAUAACCUCGGGAAACUGAGAAUAAUACCCGAUAGAUCAUUAUGCCUGGAAUGGUUUAUGGUCGAAAUGAUUUAUCGCCGUAGGAUGGGACUGCGGUCUAUCAGCUUGUUGGUGAGGUAAUGGCCCACCAAGGCUAUAACAGAUACGGGCUCUGAGAGGAGAAGCCCGGAGAUGGGUACUGAGACACGGACCCAGGCCCUAUGGGGCGCAGCAGGCGAGAAAACUUUGCAAUGUGCGAAAGCACGACAAGGUUAAUCCGAGUGUUUUCUGCUAAAGAAAUCUUUUGUCAGUCCUAAAAACACUGAUGAAUAAGGGGUGGGCAAGUUCUGGUGUCAGCCGCCGCGGUAAAACCAGCACCUCAAGUGGUCAGGAGGAUUAUUGGGCCUAAAGCAUCCGUAGCCGGCCGUGUAAGUUUUCGGCUAAAUCUAUACGCUCAACGUAUAGGCUGCCGGGAAUACUGCACAGCUAGGGAGUGGGAGAGGUAGACGGUACUCGGUAGGAAGGGGUAAAAUCCUUUGAUCUAUUGAUGACCACCUGUGGCGAAGGCGGUCUACUAGAACACGUCCGACGGUGAGGGAUGAAAGCUGGGGGAGCAAACCGGAUUAGAUACCCGGGUAGUCCCAGCUGUAAACAAUGCAAACUCAGUGAUGCACUGGCUUGUGGCCAGUGCAGUGCCGCAGGGAAGCCGUUAAGUUUGCCGCCUGGGAAGUACGUACGCAAGUAUGAAGCUUAAAGGAAUUGGCGGGGGAGCACCACAAGGGGUGAAGCCUGCGGUUCAAUU
RNAcentral lists this ribosomal RNA (898 nucleotides) under uncultured archaeon. RNAcentral's name for it is "bacterial SSU rRNA". It matches the Rfam family "Archaeal small subunit ribosomal RNA", at positions 1 to 907 of the family's 1478-position model. The record is from RNAcentral.